GGGCACUUCGCCGAAAGGGAUCCUAAGAUUAGAGUUUGAUCCUGGCUCAGAUUGAACGCUGGCGGCAGGCUUAACACAUGCAAGUCGAACGAUGACUCUCUAGCUUGCUAGAGAAGAUUAGUGGCGGACGGGUGAGUAACAUUUAGGAAUCUGCCUAGUAGUGGGGGAUAGCUCGGGGAAACUCGAAUUAAUACCGCAUACGACCUACGGGUGAAAGGGGGCGCAAGCUCUUGCUAUUAGAUGAGCCUAAAUCAGAUUAGCUAGUUGGUGGGGUAAAGGCCCACCAAGGCGACGAUCUGUAACUGGUCUGAGAGGAUGAUCAGUCACACCGGAACUGAGACACGGUCCGGACUCCUACGGGAGGCAGCAGUGGGGAAUAUUGGACAAUGGGGGCAACCCUGAUCCAGCCAUGCCGCGUGUGUGAAGAAGGCCUUUUGGUUGUAAAGCACUUUAAGCAGGGAGGAGAGGCUAAUGGUUAAUACCCAUUAGAUUAGACGUUACCUGCAGAAUAAGCACCGGCUAACUCUGUGCCAGCAGCCGCGGUAAUACAGAGGGUGCGAGCGUUAAUCGGAAUUACUGGGCGUAAAGCGAGUGUAGGUGGCUCAUUAAGUCACAUGUGAAAUCCCCGGGCUUAACCUGGGAACUGCAUGUGAUACUGGUGGUGCUAGAAUAUGUGAGAGGGAAGUAGAAUUCCAGGUGUAGCGGUGAAAUGCGUAGAGAUCUGGAGGAAAUACCGAUGGCGAAGGGCAGCUUCCUGGGCAUAAUAUUGACACUGAGAUUCGAAAGCGUGGGUAGCAAACAGGAUUAGAUACCCUGGUAGUCCACGCCGUAAACGAUGUCUACUAGCCGUUGGGGGUCCUUGAGGCUUUAGUGGCGCAGUUAACGCGAUAAGUAGACCGCCUGGGGAGUACGGCCGCAAGGUUAAAACUCAAAUGAAUUGACGGGGGCCCGCACAAGCGGUGGAGCAUGUGGUUUAAUUCGAUGCAACGCGAAGAACCUUACCUGGUCUUGACAUAGUGAGAAUCCUGCAGAGAUGCGGGAGUGCCUUCGGGAAUUCACAUACAGGUGCUGCAUGGCUGUCGUCAGCUCGUGUCGUGAGAUGUUGGGUUAAGUCCCGCAACGAGCGCAACCCUUUUCCUUAUUUGCCAGCGGGUUAAGCCGGGAACUUUAAGGAUACUGCCAGUGACAAACUGGAGGAAGGCGGGGACGACGUCAAGUCAUCAUGGCCCUUACGACCAGGGCUACACACGUGCUACAAUGGUAGGUACAGAGGGUUGCUACACAGCGAUGUGAUGCUAAUCUCAAAAAGCCUAUCGUAGUCCGGAUUGGAGUCUGCAACUCGACUCCAUGAAGUCGGAAUCGCUAGUAAUCGCAGAUCAGAAUGCUGCGGUGAAUACGUUCCCGGGCCUUGUACACACCGCCCGUCACACCAUGGGAGUCUAUUGCACCAGAAGUAGGUAGCCUAACGAAAGAGGGCGCUUACCACGGUGUGGUCGAUGACUGGGGUGAAGUCGUAACAAGGUAGCCGA
Molecule: ribosomal RNA, 1529 nt
Filed under: Enhydrobacter aerosaccus
Lineage: Bacteria; Pseudomonadati; Pseudomonadota; Alphaproteobacteria; Hyphomicrobiales
Description: bacterial SSU rRNA
Rfam family: Bacterial small subunit ribosomal RNA
Source: RNAcentral